This 410-nucleotide ribosomal RNA is filed under the name uncultured delta proteobacterium. Its description in RNAcentral is "bacterial SSU rRNA". It matches the Rfam family "Bacterial small subunit ribosomal RNA", at positions 136 to 523 of the family's 1533-position model. Lineage: Bacteria; Deltaproteobacteria. The record is from RNAcentral.
GUCUGGGAUAACCAGUCGAAAGACUGGCUAAUACCGGAUAAGGCCCCCGGGAGCUUCGGCUCCUGAGGGAAAAGGUGGCCUCUGUAUACAAGCUAUCACACCUGGAUGAGUCCGCGGCCCAUCAGCUAGUUGGCGGGGUAAUGGCCCACCAAGGCAACGACGGGUAGCUGGUCUGAGAGGACGAUCAGCCACACUGGAACUGAGACACGGUCCAGACUCCUACGGGAGGCAGCAGUGGGGAAUUUUGCGCAAUGGGCGAAAGCCUGACGCAGCAACGCCGCGUGUGUGAUGAAGGUCUUCGGAUUGUAAAGCACUUUCGACCGGGACGAAAACCCUCAACCUAACAUGUUGAGGCUUGACGGUACCGGGAGAAGAAGCACCGGCUAACUCUGUGCCAGCAGCCGCGGUAA